AUGAAAUCUUUGAGUAUUUCACUACUCAUCCUGUGGCUACAGUUAAACUGGGUGAGCAGCCAGCAGAAGGUGCAGCAGAGCCCAGAAUCCCUCAUUGUUCCAGAGGGAGCCAUGGCUUCUCUCAACUGCACUUCCAGUGAUAGUACUGUUGACUACUUCUGGUGGUACAGACAGCAUUCUGGGAAAAGCCCCAAGGCUCUGAUGUUCAUCAUCUCCAAUGGUGAAAAGGAAGAAGGCAGAUUCACAGCUCACCUCAAUAAAGCCAACCUGCAUGUUUCCCUGCACAUUAGAGACUCCCAGCCUGGUGACUCUGCUCUCUACUUCUGUGCAGUGAGCACACAGUGCUCCCCAGGCACCUGCAGCCUGCACUCAAACCUACUGUGCCCCAAAAGGCCUGAGAUAGAGCACACACUACCCAGUGGAGACAUUCUGUCUCUAUUCUGUAUGCAAUAA
Arvicanthis niloticus (Nile rat) is the source of this 453-nucleotide non-coding RNA. Lineage: Eukaryota; Metazoa; Chordata; Mammalia; Rodentia; Muridae. The record is from the annotation of a RefSeq genome assembly.